UCAACCUGUCCAAUAAUAGAAUUUAUGAUUCAGCAUAAAUUCGGUUAUUAGUGUAAGCAUAGAUUACUUGUGUUAUUAGCUGUUUCACCUCUAUUAAAUGUAGGCUAUCAGAUGUAUGUUUGUCAAUGCGCAAUAUGACUGCGCACGCGAUCUUUUUCAUUCCGACAUUUGAAAGAAACAGACGGAAUAUUAUUUGGUGAUUUAAAGAUUUAAAGAAAAUUAUUUUGGUGAUUAAAAAGAUAUAGGAUCCACAAUGUGCAGGUUUUGGUACCACUUUUCUACAAUUGGAACUCAGUUGUUUGGCACUAAGAUGAAUACAAGAAGGUCAUCAAAAAGAUGGAAAGCCACUGCAACAUUAGAAGCUGCAUCAAGACAAGAGGAAACAUAACUUUAACCAGGAUCAGUACCAGCAUCUAACGAUCCCCCAACUUCAGGAGGAUAAUUGUUCUUUUGAUGUAGUAUAUCGACCAGGUAAUGCAAUCGGUAAAGAUCAUUCCAAUCUCACGCAAACAACUAGUUACUCUCCUAGUCUUAAUUAAGAUGUUAGUCAGUACUUAAAAUAAAAAAAAAAAAAUCAAACGGGCGAGUUAGGAACAACUCUAUAAUUGAUAAUGACCAGCAAAAAGUGUCAUUUGAACAGGGGAAACUUGUUAUUUAACCAGUUUUGCCUCAUACAAAAAUAACAAAUAAAGAAAUUGAACUUGAGUAUAUAUAUUGUUGCUGAGAUAUUUUUGCAGUGGAAUUAAGGUUGAUAUAAAGUUCGACGGUUUGGGACUAGGCAUUGGACAAUUGUGUUAAUAUAGCAGUAUUAUUAUAUCCUCAAUCGAUUUGGCUGUCAUUAAAACGAUAUUAUGUUAUCUACGUUUAAUGUUUACAAUAUAUACUUGAUAGUCCUUGUACAACUGUUCACAUUAUUUAACACACAUUUCGAUGUUUCUCUUUCGAAUACAAAAUCUUUCUAAUGAGAUAUGUUACAGUUUGAGAUAAUAAAUUCCUAACGUAAUGUAUCUACAAGCUGCGAUGCCGAUUACGAUUUGAACUUUUCUUGACCUUAGAAAUGAUAUAUAGUAAAUGUAAGGAAACCGUUAACUCUCUGAAAUUGUAAAUUCAUGUCAACGAUUUGCAGACGAUAAUCUUUUCAAAGAUUAAAACUUUUGGUGAUCAAGUUUGUAAAAGUAACUUGCAAUUGAAAAUAGUGUACAAACGAUCUCUACGCUAGUGAUUAAUACUAAAAAAAAAAAAACAUAUUCUAAUAAAUGAACUAAAUUACAAAUAAUAUUGUCAUCUCGCCAGGUAUCAAGAAAAAUAUAUAUAUUAUUGAAAUCCAUUUAAUUUUAUCUAAGACUGACCUGUGCUUCGAAGGAACCACACACGUUAUUGAUGAGCGGCCUAGAGAUGCUUAUCCUAUUUUUGCUUAAACGUAAUAACUUACUAUUUACAAGUUUAGACCUGUCGCUGGUCAAUUGCUUUGUUAUAAGUCCCCUACCGAUUGAGUUUAAGGGGGCCUAAGGUUCUCACUAUGUUCGUCUGUCUGUCUGUCCACCUGUCAAUCCGGCAAAUCAGUCUUCUACAUUUUUCUUUUUGGUGCUUGAAGAUAUCGAUUUGAUAUUUGGUGUAUUGUUUUAUCAUGAUAAGUUACAGACCAAGUAUGAAUGUUGUUCCGGUCUGAUGAUUUUGUGCAGAGUUGUAGUCAAAUACACACAAAUUAUUAGUUUUCCACACAUUUUUUCGUCAUACUUGAAGACGUUGAUUUGAUAAUUGGUAUAUAGUUUUAUCGUGACAAGUUACAGAUCAGGUUCGAAUUGUGUUCCGGUCUGAUGAUUUUGUGCAAACUAUGGUCCUUGGACUAAGAGAAUUCAUUAAAAUAAUCAGUUGUCUAAUGGCGGUUGACCCGACAGUCAUUUAUGACUGUCUUGGUCAAUUUGGCACAUUUCGCUGAGUUUCCUUUAAAUAUGCGUCAUUUGGCGUCAUAUUUCAUUUAGCAUCCAAAACAUUUGAUAUUGUGGGUCUCUGUAUCCCAGGACCACCACACAAAAAUUUACGAAUCUCUGUUUCCCAGGAUUCAUUUAAUUGGAUGCUUAAUUUAUUGUAAAGAAUUAGUUAUCUAGUUAUCUAUCUAUCUAUCUAGUUAUCUUUUUGUAGUCUGCCAAUAUGAAAGGUGACUACGUUUAAUUAAUUAUCUAUUUACUAUAUAUAUAUCUUAAUUAUUUAUCUAUUUAUUUAUCUAGUUAUCGUGUCGUAGUUUGCCAAUAUGAAAGGUGACUACGUUAAUUCAAAUAUCUAUUUACUAUAUACAUAUAUAUAUCUUAACUGUUUACCUAGUUAUAUGUGUUUAUAAUUUUAUAAUAAAGCUGUGGCCAAAUACUGCCAA
This is a long non-coding RNA of Mytilus californianus (California mussel), 2371 nucleotides long. RefSeq lists it as uncharacterized. The record is from RefSeq and is a predicted model, not a curated record. Lineage: Eukaryota; Metazoa; Mollusca; Bivalvia; Mytilida; Mytilidae. The transcript is spliced from 2 exons.